Molecule: ribosomal RNA, 451 nt
Filed under: uncultured bacterium
Lineage: Bacteria
Description: partial 16S ribosomal RNA
Rfam family: Bacterial small subunit ribosomal RNA
Source: RNAcentral
GAUGAACGCUGGCGGCGUGCCUAACACAUGCAAGUCGAGCGGCAGCGCGGGGUGCUUGCACCCUGUCGGCGAGCGGCGGACGGCUGAGUAACGCGUGGGAACGUGCCCCAAAGUGAGGAAUAACUGCCCGAAAGGGUAGCUAAUACCGCAUAUUAUCUUCGGAUCAAAGGAUUUAUCCGCUUUGGGAGCGGCUCGCGUCGGAUUAGGUAGUUGGUGAGGUAAUGGCUCACCAAGCCGACGAUCCGUAGCUGGUCUGAGAGGAUGACCAGCCAGACUGGAACUGAGACACGGUCCCGAAUCCUACGGGGGGCAGCAGUGAGGAAUCUUCCAAAAUGGGCGAAAGCCUGAUGGAGCAACGCCGCGUGCAGGACGAAGGCCUUCGGGUUGUAAACUGCUUUUAUAAGUGAGGAAUAUGACGGUAACUUAUGAAUAAGGAUCGGCUAACUACGUG